AUGGCAGGAUCGUGCUGGGCAUUCGCGGCGGUGGCGGCCAUCGAAGGCAUGAACAAGAUUAGGACAGGGGAGCUGGUGUCGCUGUCCGAGCAGGAACUCGUGGACUGCGACACCGGGAGCAGCGGCUGCGGCGGCGGCCACUCAGACUCGGCUAUGGCCCUCGUGGCCGCCCGUGGUGGCAUCACGUCGGAGGAGAAGUACCCCUACGCCGGAUUCCAGGGAAAGUGCGACGUGGACAAGCUGCUGUUCGACCACCAAGCGUCCGUCAAGGGCUUCAAGGCCGUGCCACCCAACAACGAAGCUCAGCUGGCGAUCGCUGUAGCCAUGCAGCCCGUGACGGCGUACAUUGACGCCAGCGGUUUUGAGUUCCAGUUCUACUCCGGCGGCAUCUACCGUGGCCCCUGCUCCGCCAAUGUGAACCACGCCGUCACCAUCGUCGGCUACUGCGAGGGUCCCGCCGAGGGAGACAAGUACUGGAUUGCCAAGAACUCGUGGAGCAACGACUGGGGUGAACAAGGAUAUGUCUACCUCGCAAAGGACGUGCCCUCGUCCACGGGCACAUGUGGCCUUGCCACCUCGCCCUUCUACCCCACGGCUUGA
RNAcentral lists this ribosomal RNA (600 nucleotides) under Triticum aestivum (bread wheat). RNAcentral's name for it is "partial small subunit ribosomal RNA". The record is from RNAcentral. Lineage: Eukaryota; Viridiplantae; Streptophyta; Magnoliopsida; Poales; Poaceae.